GACGUCGGACCAUCUGAUCCUGAUUGGGCUCGUGUAUCUACAUUGAUUCAUCGCUAUCUGAGACAGGUUAAUGCCGAAGAGGAAGAUCCACAGUUUGCUGAUUUAUUUGAAGCUUUGCAUAUUUCUCGUUCACAUUGAUUUAUGUAUUAAGUUUUAGAACUGAAUAUAAUAGACAUAAUAUAAAAUUCAUGUUUUGAUUACA
This is a long non-coding RNA of Lathyrus oleraceus (garden pea), 202 nucleotides long. RefSeq lists it as uncharacterized. NCBI's taxonomy places the organism in Eukaryota, Viridiplantae, Streptophyta, Magnoliopsida, Fabales, Fabaceae. The transcript is spliced from 2 exons. The record is from RefSeq and is a predicted model, not a curated record.